Molecule: ribosomal RNA, 673 nt
Filed under: uncultured marine bacterium
Lineage: Bacteria
Description: bacterial SSU rRNA
Rfam family: Archaeal small subunit ribosomal RNA
Source: RNAcentral
AGAACGGAUCCGACGNUCAGGGACGAAACCUAGGGGCACGAACCGGAUUAGAUACCCGGGUAGUCCUAGGUGUAAACGCUGUGGACUUGAUGUUGGGAGCGCUCCGAGCGCCCUCAGUGUCGUAGCGAAGGUGAUAAGUCCACUGCCUGGGGAGUACGGUCGCAAGGCUGAAACUUAAAGGAAUUGGCGGGGGAGCACUGCAACCUGAGGAUUGUGCGGUUUAAUUGGAUUCAACGCCGGAAAACUCACCAUGGCCGACGGACAAAUGGAAGCCAGUGUAACGAGCUUGCUGGAUUGUUCGAGAGGUAUUGCAUGGCCGUCGUCAGUUCGUACCGCAAGGCGUUCUGUUAAGUCAGAUAACGAACGAGACCCUCAUCCCUAUUUGCUACCUGGAUCUCCGGAUCCGGCGCACUAUAGGGAGACCGCAUGACGCUAAGUCUGAGGAAGGCGAGGGCAACGGUAGGUCAGUAUGAUCUGAAUGCCAUGGGCUACACGCGCAAUACAAAGGACGGGACAAUGGGCUGCAACUCCGAGAGGAAUGACGCUAUCCCGAAACCCGUUCGUAGUUCGGAUUGAGGGCGUGUAACUCGCCCUCAUGAAGCUGGAUUAGGUAGUAAUCGCGUCUCAAAAGGGCGCGGUGAAUAUGCCCCUGCUCCUUGCACACACCGCCCGU